CGGCGGACGGGUGAGUAACGCGUGGGUAACCUGCUCAUACAGGGGGAUAACAGUUGGAAACGGCUGCUAAUACCGCAUAAGCGCACAGUACCGCAUGGUACGUGUGAAAAACUCCGGUGGUAUGAGAUGGACCCGCGUCUGAUUAGGUAGUUGGUGGGGUAACGGCCUACCAAGCCGACGAUCAGUAGCCGACCUGAGAGGGUGACCGGCCACAUUGGGACUGAGACACGGCCCAA
This 236-nucleotide ribosomal RNA is filed under the name uncultured bacterium. Its description in RNAcentral is "partial 16S ribosomal RNA". It matches the Rfam family "Bacterial small subunit ribosomal RNA", at positions 96 to 334 of the family's 1533-position model. The record is from RNAcentral.